RNAcentral lists this ribosomal RNA (253 nucleotides) under uncultured bacterium. RNAcentral's name for it is "partial 16S ribosomal RNA". It matches the Rfam family "Bacterial small subunit ribosomal RNA", at positions 524 to 776 of the family's 1533-position model. The record is from RNAcentral.
UACGGAGGGUGCAAGCGUUAUCCGGAUUCACUGGGCUUAAAGGGUGCGUAGGCGGGCAGGUAAGUCCGUGGUGAAAUCUCUGAGCUUAACUCAGAAACUGCCAUGGAUACUAUUUGUCUUGAAUAUUGUGGAGGUAAGCGGAAUAUGUCAUGUAGCGGUGAAAUGCUUAGAUAUGACAUAGAACACCAAUUGCGAAGGCAGCUUACUACACAGUAAUUGACGCUGAGGCACGAAAGCGUGGGGAUCAAACAGG